AUCCAGCUGACAAGAGCAAAUAAGUCGAAAUGCGCAUCCUGGAU
This 44-nucleotide non-coding RNA is filed under the name Trichobilharzia regenti. The record is from RNAcentral. Lineage: Eukaryota; Metazoa; Platyhelminthes; Trematoda; Strigeidida; Schistosomatidae.